Small nuclear RNA from Jaculus jaculus (lesser Egyptian jerboa), 102 nucleotides. NCBI's taxonomy places the organism in Eukaryota, Metazoa, Chordata, Mammalia, Rodentia, Dipodidae. The record is from Ensembl.
GUGCUUGCUUCAGUAGCACAUAUACUAAAAUUGGAACAAUACAGAUUAGCAUGGCCCAUGCACAAGGAUGGCAUACAAAUUUGUAAAAUAUUAAGAAAAAAU